Cyprinus carpio (common carp) is the source of this 1371-nucleotide long non-coding RNA. Lineage: Eukaryota; Metazoa; Chordata; Actinopteri; Cypriniformes; Cyprinidae. The record is from Ensembl.
AUGGAGGGCCAGGCCUGUGAAACAGAGGCAGGUCUAGACUGUGGAGCAGAGACAGACAGUGGAGCAGAGGGGGACCUGGGCCAUGGAGCAGUGACAGACAAUGGAGUAGAGGGGGACCUGGGCCGAGGAGCAGUGGCAGACAAUGGAGCAGAGGGGGACCUGGACCUUGGAGUAUUGAAAGACAAUGGAGCAGAGGGGGACCUAGGCGGUGGAGCAUUGACAGACAGUGGAGCAGAGGGGGACCUGGGCCGUGGAGCAGUUGUGGACAGUGAUACACUGGAGGACCUGGGCUGUGGAGCAGUGACAGACAAUGGAGAAAAGGGGGACCUGGGACGUGGUGCAGUGGUGGACAGUGAUACACUGGAGGACCUGGGCCGUGGAGCAGUGGCAGACAAUGGAGCAGGGGGGGACCUGGGCCGUGGAGCAUUGACAGACAAUGGAGUAGAGGGGGACCUGGGCCGUGGAGCAGUGGUGGACAGUGAUACACUGGAGGUCCUGGGCCGUGGAGUAGUGACAGACAAUGAAGCAGAGGGGGACCUGGGCCAUGGAGCAGUGGCAGUCAAUGGAGCAGAGGGGUCCUGGGCCGUGGAGCAGAUCCAGGGCAGUAUGGAGACAUGGUGGAGCAGGCCUAGCGGGGUGGCCAGGCGGUGCCCACAGAGGAGGAAGCCAUGGCGGAGCAGAGACAUGGACAGACCAAUUGGCCAUGACGGGACAGACAGUAAGUUCAUGAGCGGCCUCCGUGGCUGUGACAGGACAGACAGGGAGUUCAUGAAUGGCCUCCGUGGCCGUGAUAGGACAGACAUGAAGUUCAUGAACUGCCUCCUUGGCCGUGGCAAGACAGACAGGGAGUUCAUGAACGGCCUUCUUGGCUGUGGCAAGACAGACAGUGAGUUCAUGAGCUGCCUCCAUUGCCAUGGCAGGACAGACAGUGAGUUCGUGAGCGGCCUCCUUGGCCAUGGCAAGACAGACAGUGAGUUCAUGAGCGGCCUCCAUGGCUGUGGCAGGACAGACAGGGAGUUCAUGAACGGCCUCCAUGGCUGUGGCAGGUCAGACAGUGAGUUCAUGAGUGGCCUCCGUGGCCAUGACAGGACAGACAGGGAGUUCAUGAACGGCCUUCUUGGCUGUGGCAAGACAGACAGUGAGUUCAUGAGCUGCCUGCAUUGCCAUGACAGGACAGACAGGGUGUUCAUGAAUGGCCUCCUUGGCCGUGGCAAGACAGACAGUGAGUUCAUGAGCGGCCUCCAUUGCCAUGACAGGACAGACAGGGUGUUCAUGAAUGGCCUCCAUGGCCGUGGCAGGACAGACAGUGAUUUCAUGAGUGGACUCCGUGGCCGUAGGGGGCAUCCUCAUGAUCGGCCCCUGUGGCCGUGA